Molecule: ribosomal RNA, 497 nt
Filed under: uncultured bacterium
Lineage: Bacteria
Description: partial 16S ribosomal RNA
Rfam family: Bacterial small subunit ribosomal RNA
Source: RNAcentral
GAUGAGCGCUGGCGGCGUGCCUAAUACAUGCAAGUCGAGCGAACGGACGAGAAGCUUGCUUCUCUGAUGUUAGCGGCGGACGGGUGAGUAACACGUGGAUAACCUACCUAUAAGACUGGGAUAACUUCGGGAAACCGGAGCUAAUACCGGAUAAUAUUUUGAACCGCAUGGUUCAAAAGUGAAAGACGGUCUUGCUGUCACUUAUAGAUGGAUCUGCGCUGCAUUAGCUAGUUGGUAAGGUAACGGCUUACCAAGGCAACGAUGCAUAGCCGACCUGAGAGGGUGAUCGGCCACACUGGAACUGAGACACGGUCCAGACUCCUACGGGAGGCAGCAGUAGGGAAUCUUCCGCAAUGGGCGAAAGCCUGACGGAGCAACGCCGCGUGAGUGAUGAAGGUCUUCGGAUCGUAAAACUCUGUUAUUAGGGAAGAACAUAUGUGUAAGUAACUGUGCACAUCUUGACGGUACCUAAUCAGAAAGCCACGGCUAACUACGUG